RNAcentral lists this long non-coding RNA (846 nucleotides) under Homo sapiens (human). Its description in RNAcentral is "novel transcript". The record is from RNAcentral. Lineage: Eukaryota; Metazoa; Chordata; Mammalia; Primates; Hominidae.
AGAAGCACUCUAGCUACAGAUUAGAAUGAUGACAAGAGUAAUACCUUCCUAGUGAAGAUGACUUUUAUUUCAGGACUAUAUUAAGUUUCCCAACUUCUGUCAUGAUAUAGUCCAAAGAGAACCUGGACCACGCAGACAUCAAACAGAACAUGACACUGACCCAUUCUAUCAGUGACGUUGUGCUGAUUGCACAGGACAGAUGAGAGGCUCGUAUACUAGAAGUCUUGAUAACUUGUUUUCUAGUUUCACAUGUCCACAGAUGAAGAAAAAUUGUGCCCCAGCAAGGAUUAUACCCAGAGCCUCAUCCAUUCAUACCUGAUUUAGAUACUUAGAUGAUGAGUAAUAGAAAAGGUGGUUAUCAAACCUGGGUCAAAGUUGAAUCACCUGAGGAUCUUUUAGAACAUACACAGUCAUAUGAUACUUCAAAAUCUGUGAUUCCAUGAAGCCAAGAGUAGCUCUUCAACAGGAAAUGAAUGAGUGCUUCAGCUUCUGAUCCCAUUAGUAAGAAAAUACAGUCUUAUGAGCAAUGAUGGAGCUGCAUCUCUUAGGGGCAUUUGAUUCCCAAGAGACCAAAGAGCAAAGAGAAUGUCAAUUUAAAAAAAUCAAAUGUUUCCAUGACUUAGCUAUUUAACUGCUUUAAAAUGAAUGAAUGCUGCUUCAAGUUCUUUCAAAUACCCCACAUCUUGGCAACAACGAAAGGAAUUAACAUGAAGAAAAUUUACAAUCUUUCAUCACAUCGAACAAUGUCCCACAUUUGAAAAGUUCACAGCACAGAUUUCUGGUUACUGAAAGAAAGGAAAGACCUUCUUUGGAUUUGAAUAAACAGAUGGACUUUCUUCUCCUUUU